UCUAGUAAGUAAAGGAUUAAGUUCAAUUACUUCUAUCACAAAACCUUCAACGUAUUACUCCAAUUUAUCUAUGUAUGUAUGUACAUAUGUACAUACAUAUAUGCAUACAUAUAUUCGGAAUCGAAGGUUACAUACUACACAUAUGCAAUUGAAGAAAUCUAGGAUGAAUUAAGCCGUAUACCAUAGGUCGGCACUCAUAUAUUUACCAUAUAUUGCCAACCACUGUCCCGUGUACGUCAGCGUUAGCAUCAUAACACUUUCCUAUGCACUGUGAAUAGGAUGCUGCCGACCUCUGCCCUACCAUUCCGAUCCCAGCAUUAACCCAUCGUCAUUGCACGGACUGUACCCAAGUGAAGUGGGACUUGGACUGGAGCUUGGAAUCGCGAGAAGGGGGAGUUAUUAAGAGCCUAGCCAAAAAUUAACUGAAAAGGGGGUUGAAUUCUGACACUUGUUGUUUCGGUAGACCCCUAUGCACAGUACAUAUACCCUUUUCCACCAUUUUAGAGACUGAUAGGCCCACCAAACAUUCAAAAAUUACCCUUAAAAUGCAAGCUUUCUGAAGAUAUUUAAAUGGGAUGAUGGGCACCCCUACGCUCAUUAAGGGUGAUGGCCUCGGCUCAGUUUUCGCUAGGGAUAAGGUCCAGACUGCGCCUAUUGAGAAAGUAUGCUGGGGCUUUACACCCUUUACUGGUCGGGCUUACGGAUAUUUUUCCAGUCGAAUCUAGAAAUUUAACUGUGUUGCAUAUCGAAUUUCCAAUCAAAUUGAAUUUAUUUGCCCAAGCAAUAUAGUUUUAUUCCUUGGUACCAUCUCAAGUCGCACCUUGAAAAACAUUCGGUAUGGCUAACAGAUCCCACAAAGUAUUCGUUCAGCAAGAGUAGUCAAUAUGAGUGCUCUUGAAUGCUCUUUCCACCAAGACUUGUGUAGCUGGCACACAAUGCAAAAUGUUCGCCAGUUGAUUUUUUUUUCUCCCAAUAUUUUAUUUCCAUUUAUCCAUUUAUUUCGGUGCCAAUUUCUGCUCGGGAUUGUCAUCGUCAUCCGAAUCUUCACCUCUACAAUUGACAUCAAUCGACUAAAGAUAAUCGUUAAAAAAGUUUAAGCGAUCAGACGCUUUGAGUCGAAUUCUCUUCCUUAUCUAUCUUGCUCUACUGUACUACUACUCAUUAAAACCCUAAGAACAACCUCAUUUGUUGUAAGUAAUUCUUCCCGAAUUCUAGGUAUUUGGCAAGUUCUUAACUAUGAUUAUUUUUCACGGCUUGAAUUGGUAACUUAAAUAAUAAAGUAUAAUUUAUAAUUGUUUAUGCAUUUUGUUAAAAUACCUAAAUGUUAGAGUUCGCCAUGUUUUUAAAACAUUUCGUGCGCUGUUGACAAUUAAUUUUCGUCCUUUGUCUUUCAAAAAGCUUUUAACUGCUAGCUAUACGGAAUGAACAUUUGAUAGAUGCGAUCGACUUGAUGUUUACUGCAUCUAGUUACUACUGCAUUCAUGUUCAGGCCGUUAAAAUUUUGCUCGGUUAUAUUUUGAAAUGCACUGAAACUAAGAGACUAAAUGGCACUUUUUCAUCGGUAACCUACUGCACACAUUUUUUACUUCGCUUGAUGAAAAAGCGAAUGCAAAUGUCUUCUUUUCUUGAAUUUGGCUACCACCAACUUCAUCUUUUGUAGCUUUAUAUGCUUCGGCAUGGCUUUCGCGCAAGUGCCUUUUGCAAGUUAGUAUAAUAGGAGUCCUGCAAGACCGUCGAGAAUCUCAAGCUCUUCACCAAAAGCCUCUUCGAGGAGUACCAUCAGCGUGCCAAAAAGAUAAAAGAGAUCAAGAGCAAGAGUUCCGGUUUAAACCUCAAGAACUCAAUAGAGGUUUAUGAAUAGUCGAAGCAGCUCAGCGCCGUGCUAAAUAAUCUGAAUGUGCACAAAUUGAAAAAUCCCCACAAGGUCAAGCAGGCCGUGGAUGACUGGAAUGGGCAAUUCAUCGCGAUGGAGAAUAAAGUGCGGACCAUCGAGACGAGCUGGAACCUCCAACUAGACCACAAAUAAUGAAUCGACAACGAGAUGUUGCAAGCGCCAUUGUAGAUCCCAAAUACUAUUCUAAAAUACGAGUGUGCCGGACUCUGACCAGCAAACCUUUCGCCACUAUUUUCGCAACGGUGUAAGAUUAGAAUAAUUUUUUUGGAAAUAGCAUCAAACUUUGGGAUUUUCCAUCAAAAUUCACUGGCAGAACCACUUAAGAAAUACUCUAUUAAGCUUUUCAGAAUGCAAGUAUUUGACAUACAUACAUACAUAUGUAUGUACAUAUGUAUGUAUGUCCUUUAUGACAAAAAAAAAAUGCCACCUUUCGAUGGAUACAUGUAAUAGUUAUUUUAAUUAAAUUUGUAUUUUAAUUUUUGUAUUCUAGUUAAUUUUUAUUUACAAUUAGUAUGCUAAAAAUUAGAAACAUGACGUUUAUAACGAUUGUUGGUAACGAAUAUUGGUAAUAUAAGUUCAUCGUAUUAAAGGAGACCUAUUGCAAAAAUAGCCGUAUUUUUUAACACAUAACUAUUUUUGUGCCCUCUGGAUAUAAUAAUAAUGGAUGCUAUAAUACGAUUUAUCAGACCUACCAGUUACAGUCACAUCUGCAAAAGAUGAAAUAACUUUUAGCAAAUUAAAAAUUAUAAAAAACUUUUUAGGAAACAAGGCCAAGAA
Long non-coding RNA from Drosophila pseudoobscura, 2671 nucleotides. RefSeq lists it as uncharacterized. The transcript has 2 exons. Lineage: Eukaryota; Metazoa; Arthropoda; Insecta; Diptera; Drosophilidae. The record is from RefSeq and is a predicted model, not a curated record.